GGUUUUUGCUAUUUUUGAUCCUCGGCCCCUUUCGUCCUAACAAAACUUUCUGAUCCGGGAGAAGUAGAUUGUGAAAGGUUGCAAAGUAUAAGAACUGACCCAAACCGCCCACGCCCACCUUCGGCAUCCGCCUCUUUUCCCCAAAUUCGUGACCAUGACUAAGCUCCCGCCCCCCUACCCCCGGCAAACUGAGCGAUCUUCCUCGCUGCUGAAGCACAGGGGCCUUGGCCUUACUCACAUUGGUAGAGUGAUUCGUCUGCCCAAUUGCGAAUAAAGAACGAGAACUUAAGCUCCUAAAUACCCAGACGCGCUAUGGCGGGUCGCCGGCUUCUUAGAGGGACAAUUGGCUCAAGUCGAUGGAAGUUUGAGGCAAUAACAGGUCCGUGAUGCCCUUAGAUGUUCUGGGCCCACGCGCGCUACACUGACAGAGCCAACGAGUUCAUUUCCUUAGCCGAAAGGUUUGGGUAAUCUUGUUAAACUCUGUCGUGCUGGGGAUAGAGCAUUGCAAUUAUUGCUCUUCAACGAGGAAUGCCUAGUAAGCGCAUGUCAUCAGCAUGCGUUGAUACCAGUCCAAUGCGCUUUGCACUCACCCCCGUCAAGGCGAAUCCC
RNAcentral lists this ribosomal RNA (609 nucleotides) under uncultured fungus. RNAcentral describes it as "bacterial SSU rRNA". The stretch from base 123 to 564 matches the Rfam family "Eukaryotic small subunit ribosomal RNA", at positions 1173 to 1645 of the family's 1831-position model. The record is from RNAcentral. Lineage: Eukaryota; Fungi.